Molecule: non-coding RNA, 27 nt
Filed under: Mus musculus (house mouse)
Lineage: Eukaryota; Metazoa; Chordata; Mammalia; Rodentia; Muridae
Source: RNAcentral
UUGACAUGGGCGAGAGGGUCUGUUUGU